Molecule: ribosomal RNA, 482 nt
Filed under: uncultured Glomus
Lineage: Eukaryota; Fungi; Glomeromycota; Glomeromycetes; Glomerales; Glomeraceae
Description: SSU rRNA
Rfam family: Eukaryotic small subunit ribosomal RNA
Source: RNAcentral
GGCAGCCGCGGUAAUUCCAGCUCCAAUAGCGUAUAUUAAAGUUGUUGCAGUUAAAAAGCUCGUAGUUGAAUUUCGGGAUCAAUAUAUCGGUCAUGCUUAGGUAUGUACUGGUAUUAUUGAUUUCUCCCUUCUGAAGAACCAUGAUGUCAUUAAUUUGGUGUCGUGGGGAAUCAGGACUGUUACUUUGAAAAAAUUAGAGUGUUUAAAGCAGGCAUACGCUUGAAUACAUUAGCAUGGAAUAAUGAAAUAGGACGUUUGAUUCUAUUUUGUUGGUUUCUAGGAUCGACGUAAUGAUUAAUAGGGAUAGUUGGGGGCAUUAGUAUUCAAUUGUCAGAGGUGAAAUUCUUGGAUUUAUUGAAGACUAACUACUGCGAAAGCAUUUGCCAAGGAUGUUUUCAUUAAUCAAGAACGAAAGUUAGGGGAUCGAAGACGAUCAGAUACCGUCGUAGUCUUAACCAUAAACUAUGCCGACUAGGAUCGGA